This 357-nucleotide long non-coding RNA is filed under the name Salmo salar (Atlantic salmon). Its description in RNAcentral is "lncRNA (ENSSSAG00000121059.1)". The record is from RNAcentral. Lineage: Eukaryota; Metazoa; Chordata; Actinopteri; Salmoniformes; Salmonidae.
GCAAUGUUGGUAUAGAUCUCAGUAUGCUGGUAUUGAUUGAUGGUAUAGGUCUCUCACUCUGCUGGUAUUGAUGGAUGGUAUAGGUCUCACACUCUGCUGGUAUUGAUGGAUGGUACAGGUCUCACACUUUGCUGGUAUUGCUGGAUGGUACAGGUCUCACACUUUGCUGGUAUUGCUGGAUGGUACAGGUCUCACACUCUGAUUGGCUCACACUGCUGGUAUUGAUGGAUGGUAUAGGUCUCACUCUGCUGGUAUUGAUGGCUGAGUAGGUACGGAAGUCAGAGUUCUGGACUCCUUCCUUGGUCUCCUCUGUUCCUGACGGAUAUCCAAUGAGGUGUGACACAGGUCUCCUUCCUC